GAUGAACGCUGGCGGCGUGCCUAAUACAUGCAAGUAGAACGCUGAAGGAGGAGCUUGCUCUUUCCGGAUGAGUUGCGAACGGGUGAGUAACGCGUAGGUAACCUGCCUGGUAGCGGGGGAUAACUAUUGGAAACGAUAGCUAAUACCGCAUAACAGUAGAUAUUGCAUGAUAUUUGCUUGAAAGGGGCAAUUGCUCCACUACCAGAUGGACCUGCGUUGUAUUAGCUAGUUGGUGAGGUAACGGCUCACCAAGGCGACGAUACAUAGCCGACCUGAGAGGGUGGUGCGCCACAACUGGACUGGGACACCGCCCCGACCCCUUCCGGAGGCAGCAGUAGGGAAUCUUCGGCAAUGGACGGAAGUCUGACCGAGCAACGCCGCGUGAGUGAAGAAGGUUUUCGGAUCGUAAAGCUCUGUUGUAAGAGAAGAACGAGUGUGAGAGUGGAAAGUUCACACUGUGACGGUAUCUUACCAGAAAGGGACGGCUAACUACGUG
RNAcentral lists this ribosomal RNA (496 nucleotides) under uncultured bacterium. RNAcentral's name for it is "partial 16S ribosomal RNA". It matches the Rfam family "Bacterial small subunit ribosomal RNA", at positions 28 to 507 of the family's 1533-position model. The record is from RNAcentral.